This 266-nucleotide ribosomal RNA is filed under the name uncultured bacterium. Its description in RNAcentral is "partial 16S ribosomal RNA". It matches the Rfam family "Bacterial small subunit ribosomal RNA", at positions 88 to 354 of the family's 1533-position model. The record is from RNAcentral.
CCGGCGACCGGCGCACGGGUGAGUAACGCGUAUGCAACUUACCUAUCAGAGGGGGAUAACCCGGCGAAAGUCGGACUAAUACCGCAUGAAGCAGGGGCCCGCAUGGGGAUAUUUGCUAAAGAUUCAUCGCUGAUAGAUAGGCAUGCGUUCCAUUAGGCAGUUGGCGGGGUAACGGCCCACCAAACCGACGAUGGAUAGGGGUUCUGAGAGGAAGGUCCCCCACAUUGGUACUGAGACACGGACCAAACUCCUACGGGAGGCAGCAG